UACGAAGGGGGCUAGCGUUGUUCGGAAUUACUGGGCGUAAAGGGCGCGUAGGCGGCCACCGCAAGUCAAUUGUGAAAUCUCCGGGCUUAACUCGGAAAGGUCAACUGAUACUGCGGGGCUAGAGUGCGGAAGGGGCAACUGGAAUUCUCGGUGUAGCGGUGAAAUGCGUAGAUAUCGAGAGGAACACCUGCGGCGAAGGCGGGUUGCUGGGCUGAUACUGACGCUGAGGCGCGAAAGCCAGGGGAGCGAACGGG
This 254-nucleotide ribosomal RNA is filed under the name uncultured bacterium. Its description in RNAcentral is "partial 16S ribosomal RNA". It matches the Rfam family "Bacterial small subunit ribosomal RNA", at positions 524 to 776 of the family's 1533-position model. The record is from RNAcentral.